AGAGUUUGAUCCUGGCUCAGGACGAACGCUGGCGGCGUGCCUAAACAUGCAAGUCGAACGCACUCUCGUUAGAUUGAAGAAGCUUGCUUCUGAUUGAUAACAUUUGAGUGAGUGGCGGACGGGUGAGUAACACGUGGGUACCUGCCCUAAAGUGGGGGAUAACAUUUGGAAACAGAUGCUAAUACCGCAUAAAACCUAGCACCGCAUGGUGCAAGGUUGAAAGAUGGUUUCGGCUAUCACUUUAGGAUGGACCCGCGGUGCAUUAGUUAGUUGGUGAGGUAAAGGCUCACCAAGACCGUGAUGCAUAGCCGACCUGAGAGGGUAAUCGGCCACACUGGGACUGAGACACGGCCCAGACUCCUACGGGAGGCAGCAGUAGGGAAUCUUCCACAAUGGACGAAAGUCUGAUGGAGCAACGCCGCGUGAGUGAAGAAGGUUUUCGGAUCGUAAAACUCUGUUGUUGGAGAAGAACGUAUUUGAUAGUAACUGAUCAGGUAGUGACGGUAUCCAACCAGAAAGCCACGGCUAACUACGUGCCAGCAGCCGCGGUAAUACGUAGGUGGCAAGCGUUGUCCGGAUUUAUUGGGCGUAAAGCGAGCGCAGGCGGUUUCUUAAGUCUGAUGUGAAAGCCUUCGGCUCAACCGAAGAAGUGCAUCGGAAACUGGGAAACUUGAGUGCAGAAGAGGACAGUGGAACUCCAUGUGUAGCGGUGAAAUGCGUAGAUAUAUGGAAGAACACCAGUGGCGAAGGCGGCUGUCUGGUCUGUAACUGACGCUGAGGCUCGAAAGCAUGGGUAGCAAACAGGAUUAGAUACCCUUGUAGUCC
RNAcentral lists this ribosomal RNA (825 nucleotides) under Lactococcus lactis. RNAcentral's name for it is "bacterial SSU rRNA". It matches the Rfam family "Bacterial small subunit ribosomal RNA", at positions 8 to 796 of the family's 1533-position model. The record is from RNAcentral. Lineage: Bacteria; Bacillati; Bacillota; Bacilli; Lactobacillales; Streptococcaceae.